Taeniopygia guttata (zebra finch) is the source of this 808-nucleotide long non-coding RNA. RefSeq lists it as uncharacterized. The record is from RefSeq and is a predicted model, not a curated record. NCBI's taxonomy places the organism in Eukaryota, Metazoa, Chordata, Aves, Passeriformes, Estrildidae.
GAAUAAGGGGCUGUGAAAUCACUUCUGGCUGUUGGGCAUCACAUUCCCCAUGAUGGCUGCGGGAGAGAUGAUGGGAUGCUGGGGAAGUUGCAGGACUAAUCUUCCAGACUGGAAUUAGGAAGGGAGUGGUUUGAAGCCUCUGCAUCUAAUCACCAGGUCCAGACCACACUGGGCUGACUCAGCACAUGGCACAAUGGCAAGGGGUUGGCAGGCCUGCACUUGGGAAAAGACACACAGAACUGGGAUGCCUGCCUUCAUAUCUGUCAUCAAAAAUUGGGCAGCAGAAGGAGCAAACACAUCUGGUAGCUACUUCGGACAAUAAAACCCGGAAAGAUGCAAGUUCCAAGGGUUUCCCUGGCCAAGGAAAAAAUAAAUAGAAGGAAGAAAAAAGAGAAUCUGCCCUUCACUCAUCUCUUCUGCAAGGAGAAAUUUGCAAGCAUCACACUUUCUAGCCUGUGGCUCAGUUCUGUGAUUGUCUUUUGAAUUCUCAGUAUCAUUCUUCAUCAUCCAAGAAAUGCAAACUCUAGACCAAGAAGUCCAUUCUUACAAUUAUCUUUACCACCACUGUCUCCAAAUACCUACUGUAUUUGUAUACACACUGUUUUACAAGCCUUUUUUGUUUUCCUUAAUAAAUACAAUGCUGAAAAUCUUGUGUGGAUAGACUCUGAACAUUCAGGAAUUGGUGUUCUGAGCUUUUCAGGACAGGACCCUUCACACUUAACUGGUUUUCACACUUCUCAGAGGUGUUAGUUUCGAGUCUACUGUAACAUGACUGUUAAACCAGUAAGAUCACUUUGUGAUUCUUAAA